This is a long non-coding RNA of Macrobrachium nipponense, 377 nucleotides long. RefSeq lists it as uncharacterized. NCBI's taxonomy places the organism in Eukaryota, Metazoa, Arthropoda, Malacostraca, Decapoda, Palaemonidae. The transcript is spliced from 3 exons. The record is from RefSeq and is a predicted model, not a curated record.
CGAUGAGUGUAUGGAAAAUAGAGAAGGGGAGUGUCCAUUCCAUCCUUUUUAUCUCAUUUUGGAUGUAGUGGUGGUGCGUUGUCAGAUGACAGCUUGCACAGCUGUCCUUCAGCAAAGGUGCGGACAUGAGGUUUGCAGGUCCCAUGCACCCUGCGCCGUACAGGUCGAUGACCUCAUCGUCUGACAUCCGGAUGCGUGUGAGAUCUGUUGUUGACUUUUUGCCGAUAUAACCUCGGACUCGACCCCACAGGCUGUCAAGAACACAUCUCUUUCAACCCUCAAGAUCUGGGUUGGCGAAUUCGGCCAUAACGUCAAGGCUAAGAAACCUUAUAUUCUAUCAGAGGAGUUAUGCACCCUCCUCUACCCAAAUGCCAAGA